RNAcentral lists this ribosomal RNA (422 nucleotides) under uncultured bacterium. RNAcentral's name for it is "bacterial SSU rRNA". It matches the Rfam family "Bacterial small subunit ribosomal RNA", at positions 30 to 452 of the family's 1533-position model. The record is from RNAcentral.
AUUGAACGCUGGCGGCAUGCCUUACACAUGCAAGUCGAACGGUAACAGGGAGCUUGCUCCGCUGACGAGUGGCGAACGGGUGAGUAAUGUAUCGGAACGUACCAUAGAGUGGGGGAUAACUAUCCGAAAGGAUAGCUAAUACCGUAUAUUCUCUCCGGAGGAAAGCAGGGGACCGCAAGGCCUUGCGCUCUUUGAGCGGCCGAUAUCAGAUUAGCUAGUUGGUGAGGUAAAGGCUCACCAAGGCGACGAUCUGUAGCGGGUCUGAGAGGAUGAUCCGCCACACUGGAACUGAGACACGGUCCAGACUCCUACGGGAGGCAGCAGUGGGGAAUUUUGGACAAUGGGGGCAACCCUGAUCCAGCCAUGCCGCGUGUGUGAAGAAGGCCCUCGGUUGUAAGACGACUUAAGUACGAGGAGGAAGG